This 275-nucleotide ribosomal RNA is filed under the name uncultured bacterium. Its description in RNAcentral is "partial 16S ribosomal RNA". It matches the Rfam family "Bacterial small subunit ribosomal RNA", at positions 338 to 606 of the family's 1533-position model. The record is from RNAcentral.
CCUACGGGGGGCAGCAGUCGAGAAUUUUUCACAAUGGGCGAAAGCCUGAUGGAGCGACGCCGCGUGGGGGAUGAAUGGCUUCGGUCCGUAAACCCCUGUCAUUCGGGAGCAAUGCCUGCGGAAUAACACUUUGCAGGUUGAUAGUACUGGAAGAGGAAGGGACGGCUAACUCUGUGCCAGCAGCCGCGGUAAUACAGAGGUCCCAAGCGUUGUUCGGAUUCACUGGGCGUAAAGGGUGCGUAGGUGGCUUGGUAAGUCUGAUGUGAAAUCUCGGA